This 376-nucleotide ribosomal RNA is filed under the name uncultured bacterium. RNAcentral's name for it is "bacterial SSU rRNA". It matches the Rfam family "Bacterial small subunit ribosomal RNA", at positions 524 to 898 of the family's 1533-position model. The record is from RNAcentral.
UACGUAGGUGGCAAGCGUUAUCCGGAAUUACUGGGCGUAAAGCGCACGCAGGUGGUCAUUUAAGUCUGAUGUGAAAGCUCUUGGCUUAACUGGGAGAGGUCGUUGGAAACUGGAUGACUUGAGGUGAUGAGAGGGGUGUGGAAUUCCCGGUGUAGUGGUGGAAUGCGUAGAGAUCGGGAGGAACACCAGUGGCGAAAGCGGCACCCUGGCAUUGACCUGACGCUCAGGUGCGAAAGCGUGGGGAGCGAACGGGAUUAGAUACCCCGGUAGUCCACGCUGUAAACGAUGAAUACUAGGUGUGGGCUGUGUUAAAGCAGUCUGUGCCGAAGCCAACGCGAUAAGUAUUCCGCCUGGGGACUACGACCGCAAGGUUAAA